Molecule: ribosomal RNA, 465 nt
Filed under: uncultured Klebsiella sp.
Lineage: Bacteria; Pseudomonadati; Pseudomonadota; Gammaproteobacteria; Enterobacterales; Enterobacteriaceae
Description: bacterial SSU rRNA
Rfam family: Bacterial small subunit ribosomal RNA
Source: RNAcentral
CCUACGGGGGGCAGCAGUGGGGAAUAUUGCACAAUGGGCGCAAGCCUGAUGCAGCCAUGCCGCGUGUGUGAAGAAGGCCUUCGGGUUGUAAAGCACUUUCAGCGGGGAGGAAGGCGGUGAGGUUAAUAACCUCAUCGAUUGACGUUACCCGCAGAAGAAGCACCGGCUAACUCCGUGCCAGCAGCCGCGGUAAUACGGAGGGUGCAAGCGUUAAUCGGAAUUACUAGGCGUAAAGCGCACGCAGGCGGUCUGUCAAGUCGGAUGUGAAAUCCCCGGGCUCAACCUGGGAACUGCAUUCGAAACUGGCAGGCUAGAGUCUUGUAGAGGGGGGUAGAAUUCCAGGUGUAGCGGUGAAAUGCGUAGAGAUCUGGAGGAAUACCGGUGGCGAAGGCGGCCCCCUGGACAAAGACUGACGCUCAGGUGCGAAAGCGUGGGGAGCAAACAGGAUUAGAUACCCUAGUAGUC